CAGUCGCCACGGUAAUACGUAGGGCGCAAGCGUUGUCCGGAAUUAUUGGGCGUAAAGAGCUCGUAGGCGGCCUGUUACGUCUGCUGUGAAAUCCCGGGGCUUAACCCCGGGCGUGCAGUGGAUACGGGCGGGCUAGAGGCAGGCAGGGGAGAACGGAAUUCCCGGUGUAGCGGUGAAAUGCGUAGAUAUCAGGAGGAACACCGGUGGUGUAAACGGCUUUCUGGACCAUAACUGACGCUGAGGCACGAAAGCGUGGGUAGCAAACAGGAUUAGAUACCCCAGUAGUCCCUGUCUCUUAUAC
RNAcentral lists this ribosomal RNA (301 nucleotides) under uncultured bacterium. Its description in RNAcentral is "partial 16S ribosomal RNA". It matches the Rfam family "Bacterial small subunit ribosomal RNA", at positions 509 to 807 of the family's 1533-position model. The record is from RNAcentral.